This 492-nucleotide ribosomal RNA is filed under the name uncultured bacterium. RNAcentral describes it as "partial 16S ribosomal RNA". It matches the Rfam family "Bacterial small subunit ribosomal RNA", at positions 29 to 507 of the family's 1533-position model. The record is from RNAcentral.
AGUGAACGCUGGCGGUAGGCCUAACACAUGCAAGUCGAACGGCAGCACAGUAAGAGCUUGCUCUUACGGGUGGCGAGUGGCGGACGGGUGAGGAAUACAUCGGAAUCUACUUUUUCGUGGGGGAUAACGUAGGGAAACUUACGCUAAUACCGCAUACGACCUACGGGUGAAAGCAGGGGAUCUUCGGACCUUGCGCGAUUGGAUAAGCCGAUGUCGGAUUAGCUAGUUGGCGGGGUAAAGGCCCACCAAGGCGACGAUCCGUAGCUGGUCUGAGAGGAUGAUCAGCCACACUGGAACUGAGACACGGUCCAGACUCCUACGGGAGGCAGCAGUGGGGAAUAUUGGACAAUGGGCGCAAGCCUGAUCCAGCCAUACCGCGUGGGUGAAGAAGGCCUUCGGGUUGUAAAGCCCUUUUGUUGGGAAAGAAAAGCAGCAGGUUAAUACCCCGCUGUUCUGACGGUACCCAAAGAAUAAGCACCGGCUAACUUCGUG